AGUCGACGAUGAAUCUUCUAGCUUGCUAGAAGUGGAUUAGUGGCGCACGGGUGAGUAAUGCAUAGGUUAUGUGCCCUUUAGUCUGGGAUAGCCACUGGAAACGGUGAUUAAUACUGGAUACUCCCUACGGGGGAAAGUUUUUCGCUAAAGGAUCAGCCUAUGUCCUAUCAGCUAGUUGGUGAGGUAAUGGCUCACCAAGGCUAUGACGGGUAUCCGGCCUGAGAGGGUGAUCGGACACACUGGAACUGAGACACGGUCCAGACUCCUACGGGAGGCAGCAGUAGGGAAUAUUGCUCAAUGGGGGAAACCCUGAAGCAGCAACGCCGCGUGGAGGAUGAAGGUUUUAGGAUUGUAAACUCCUUUUGUUAGAGAAGAUUAUGACGGUAUCUAACGAAUAAGCACCGGCUAACUCCGUGCCAGCAGCCGCGGUAAUACGGAGGGUGCAAGCGUUACUCGGAAUCACUGGGCGUAAAGAGUGCGUAGGCGGGGUAAUAAGUCAGAUGUGAAAUCCUGUAGCUUAACUACAGAACUGCAUUUGAAACUGUUACUCUGGAGUGUGGGAGAGGUAGGUGGAAUUCUUGGUGUAGGGGUAAAAUCCGUAGAGAUCAAGAGGAAUACUCAUUGCGAAGGCGACCUGCUGGAACAUUACUGACGCUGAUGCACGAAAGCGUGGGGAGCAAACAGGAUUAGAUACCCUGGUAGUCCACGCCCUAAACGAUGGAUGCUAGUUGUUGCCUUGCUUGUCAGGGCAGUAAUGCAGCUAACGCAUUAAGCAUCCCGCCUGGGGAGUACGGUCGCAAGAUUAAAACUCAAAGGAAUAGACGGGGACCCGCACAAGCGGUGGAGCAUGUGGUUUAAUUCGAAGAUACGCGAAGAACCUUACCUAGGCUUGACAUUGAU
RNAcentral lists this ribosomal RNA (900 nucleotides) under uncultured bacterium. RNAcentral describes it as "bacterial SSU rRNA". It matches the Rfam family "Bacterial small subunit ribosomal RNA", at positions 60 to 991 of the family's 1533-position model. The record is from RNAcentral.